GGUAGUGAAGAGAAAUAACGAUGUUAGCUUUUUUAGGCUGACAAUCGGAAUGGAAAAACUCUAAAAAGGUUAUUGAUUAACAAUUGGAGGGCAAGUCUGGUGCCAGCAGCCGCGGUAAUUCCAGCUACCAAUAAGGAAAACUAAAGUUGCUGUGUUUAAAAAGCUCGUAGUUGAAUUUCGGGUAUUUGUUGCUAGUUGGUCUUUUCGGCCAUAUUGGUUAACAGAUCCUCACUUGCUGGACGGCUGGCGAUGAUCUUUAUCGGUUGUCGUCAGUUGCCAGAACGUUUACUUUGAGAAAAUUAGAGUGCUAAAAGCAGGCUCACGCCUAUAUAUAUUGCAUGGAAUAAUGAAAUAAGAUCUCGAUUUUAUUUCGUUGGUUUUAGAAAUUGAGAUAAUGAUUAAUAGGAUCAGAGGGGGGC
This 419-nucleotide ribosomal RNA is filed under the name uncultured eukaryote. RNAcentral's name for it is "SSU rRNA". It matches the Rfam family "Eukaryotic small subunit ribosomal RNA", at positions 463 to 889 of the family's 1831-position model. The record is from RNAcentral.